Molecule: ribosomal RNA, 442 nt
Filed under: uncultured bacterium
Lineage: Bacteria
Description: bacterial SSU rRNA
Rfam family: Bacterial small subunit ribosomal RNA
Source: RNAcentral
CCUACGGGACGCACCAGUGGGGAAUUUUCCGCAAUGGGCGAAAGCCUGACGGAGCAAUGCCGCGUGGAGGUAGAAGGCCCACGGGUCGUGAACUUCUUUUCCCGGAGAAGAAGCAAUGACGGUAUCUGGGGAGUAAGCAUCGGCUAACUCUGUGCCAGCAGCCGCGGUAAUACAGAGGAUGCAAGCGUUAUCCGGAAUGAUUGGGCGUAAAGCGUCUGUAGGUGGCUUUUUAAGUCCGCCGUCAAAUCCCAGGGCUCAACCCUGGACAGGCGGUGGAAGCUACCAAGCUGGAGUACGGUAGGGGCAGAGGGAAUUUCCGGUGGAGCGGUGAAAUGCGUAGAGAUCGGAAAGAACAGCAACGGCGAUAGCACUCUGCUGGGCCGACACUGACACUGAGAGACGAAAGCUAGGGGAGCGAAUGGGAUUAGAUACCCUUGUAGUC